Molecule: ribosomal RNA, 449 nt
Filed under: uncultured bacterium
Lineage: Bacteria
Description: partial 16S ribosomal RNA
Rfam family: Bacterial small subunit ribosomal RNA
Source: RNAcentral
GUCGAGAAUCUUUCACAAUGGGGGCAACCCUGAUGGAGCGACGCCGCGUGGAGGAUAAGGUCUUCGGAUUGUAAACUCCUGUCAUGCGUGAACAAGGUUGCUUGGUUAAUACCUGGGCAAAUUGAUGGUAACGCAAGAGGAAGAGACGGCUAACUCUGUGCCAGCAGCCGCGGUAAUACAGAGGUCUCAAGCGUUGUUCGGAAUCACUGGGCGUAAAGGGUGCGUAGGUGGCGUGGUAAGUCAGAUGUGAAAGCCCGGGGCUCAACCUCGGAACUACAUCCGAUACUGCCAUGCUAGAGUACUGGAGAGGUGACUAGAAUUCUCGGUGUAGCAGUGAAAUGCGUAGAUCUCGAGAGGAAUACCAAAGGCGUAGGCAGGUCACUGGACAGUUACUGACACUGAGGCACGAAGGCCAGGGGAGCGAACGGGAUUAGAAACCCGAGUAGUCC